RNAcentral lists this small RNA (2212 nucleotides) under Rattus norvegicus (Norway rat). RNAcentral's name for it is "uncharacterized LOC102548522". The record is from RNAcentral. Lineage: Eukaryota; Metazoa; Chordata; Mammalia; Rodentia; Muridae.
ACUUUAGAAACCACAAUGAAAUCAGGGGAGAGCGCGAACGCAGUCCCCCACUACCACAAAUUAUGCAGUCGAGUUUCCCGCAUUUGGGGAAAUCGCAGGGGUCAGCACAUCCGGAGUGCAAUGGAUAAGCCUCGCCCUGGGAAAACCACCUUCGUGAUCAUGGUAUCUCCCCUGCCAGGUAAGUAUGAGUUGCUCGCCCAGCCAGCACGCCCUCCACCCACACGCACUCCUAUUAAACGCACGGUUCCCGCCUCCGCGCCACGGCCUCGGUCUCACGCCCCCCCACUCCUCUGCCGAGAUGCUUCCGCCUCACGGAAAUCACACGCCUGUCACGCGGUACACUCCACCCGAGACACGGCCCUUAAGGCUCUGCCGGACCGGCAGCCACUGCGCACGGCUUCAUCUGCGUACGCCCCGCCCACAGGCGGGUUUUUUUUUUUUCCUUUUUCUUUUUUUUUUCUUUCCCCCCCCUUUUUUCUUCCCCUGGCCUGCAGGAGACCGCGACGGUCACACAGUGGCCUGGAGCACACUAUACCAUAGUCCAUCAUUGGAGGGAGUCGGGACAGGAACUCAAGCAGGGCUUGAGAUAGGAGCUGACGCAGAGCCCAUGAAGGAGUACUGCUUACUGGCUUGAUUUCUUACGGAACCCAGGACCACCAGCCCAGGGAUGGCUCGCUGAUUGAUCACUAAUUGAGAAAAUGCCUUACAGCCGGAUCUCAUGGAGGCAUUUCCUCAACUGAGCUGAAACAGCUUCGGCCACGCACAUGAUACAGCUCUGACCAGUUAAGACACCAGUCAGUCCCGGGGGAGAGCAUCUGCCAGGAAACGAACAUCAAAGCCGCUGUUCCAAGUUUUCUGCCUCCCAACUGCUCUACUUGGAAAUCGGGCUGAGGCCUUGGAGAAGCAGGUGUUCGCCUCCGGGUCUCCGGGGCCUGGCCUUAAGCGCGCAGCGGCAGUCCUCGCGUCUGCUCUCUGUUUAGCCACGCGGCCUACCUAAGGCCAACAGGUUAGUAUAUGCAGCUGCUAUUAACUACCCCGGCCCCAGGAGGCACGCUCACAAUGAAUCGGGGGCCUGCCGAGUCGGCCUAGGGGGGUAGACACGCUUGCCCCACGGCUGACAGCUGGUGGUUGAUCCCCACAAUCCGUGUGGUGGAAGGAGCUGGACUCCCACAAGCCCUCUGACCUUCACCCGGGUCCCCACCCUCACAUACUACACAGACUAACCCAAAAAGAGAACUUAAGGCUUGGAGAGAUGUUUCCGUGACGGAGCACACUGGCCGUUCUUCCCCAGGACCCGGGGGUCGUGUCCCAGCACCCACACUGAAGCUCCGGUGCCUGGGGAGCCUAUGUUCUCUUCUGCCCCACCUUCCCGGCUUUCUGGUCUUCUCCAGCCUGGCACACGUGGGGCACACAGACACAUGGGCAGGAGAAGGCACUCCUACAUGGUAAAUAAAAAUAAGCAAAAAUCCCAUAAAAGUUUUCCGGAUACUCACUUCUUUCCCCUCCAAGAGAGACCAUGCUGAUAAAAACAAAAUAACCCACGGGUAACAGAACCGCCGUAUGCCUUGUCCUUCUAUCUCUCGGCGUUUACACAGCACCUUCACAUUUCCGAAGCAUGGCACCAACAUUUAUUAACCCUCACAACAUCCCUGUGAGGUAGGUCAACAUGUCCUUUAUAGCAGAGAAUGGAGCUACAAGGCUAGAGGAUCUCGCCCAUACCGGAUUGAGGAGGCUUCAAGAGCAGCUGGUGAGGGCCGGACCGAAUCCAGAAGGGCGGGCCCUUGGUCCUGCGCUCACCCACGCAGGUGUAUUUCUAUACAUACCGCGUGGGUGUAUUUCUACCAAUGAAGGUCACAUACAGGAAGGAAUGAAGGACCAACACGGUGUCCAGGCUGACAAUAGGAAAACGGAGGUUCGGAUGGCUCGGGGAAACAUGUCAAUCACGAGAGCAAGCACGCUAGCCAGCACAGGGAGGCCGAGAGAAGAUGUGCACUGAGAGAGACUGGGUCUGGGUCUUGGCCUGCAAGGUGGACCCUGACCCCGGAAUCUUCAGGACGGUUUAGAGAAAUGUAAACAAACUAGGAACCCGUUCCAGUGGUGAACGGCCCAAGUCCCCGUGAUUUCCUGCCAACAGCCAGCUUUGGCAUCUGUGGGUUGGGUGAACUGAGGAUGGCAGCCCAUAGGGGUCAGUGCUUUGAGCAAGGAGUCCGUC